GAUCUCUGACAGGUUAUGAGUGAAUUAACAUGAAAUAAAUCAAUGUGACAGCCUCAUUAAUCCACUUGUCAGAGAUGCAUCUCUACAUGGCAGUACUGGUGAGGGUAAUCACUGCACAACCCUUCUGGAGGAUCCUAUUCAUCCUGUUGCGUGGCAUUAUCAUUGUGGUUCCAUGAAGAGUGUUGAAGAGUGAGUGUUCCAGGAGCAGCAGGGUGGUGCAGCGGGAGAGUUGCUGCCUCACAGCGACAGAGACCCAGGUUCGAUCCUGACCUCGAGUGCUAUCAGAGUUUACACGUUCUCCCUGUGACCGCAUUCGCUUGCUCCAUUCGUGGUGCUGCAGUGUCCUCGGUGCAUUGCAGUUGCUGGGAAAAAUAGUUGCAUAUUAUACAACUUGAGAGGCAGGAUACACUGUGGUGUAGAUGUAAUGUCCAGACUAUGAGUGGGUAGAGGAACUCAAAAGAACAAAGCAAAGGACAUUUAUUGUCACAAUGACAUUUAUUGGUGCAGUGAAAUUUGAGUUACCAGGCAGCACACAAAUAAGAUAAACACAACACUUGAGAAUUUAACAUAAAACAUAAAAAACAUCCCCUCACAGCGGAAUCAGCGUUUCCCACAGUGAGGGAAGGCACCAAAAUUCAGUCCACUUCCUCUGAUCAACCGUGGUCGGUGCCUAUUGAGGCCUCCGCAGUCACCGCUACGGGCCCGAUGUUUCAGGCCCUCGAACGGAAGGACACUCUCAAUGGCCCAGAGCAUCUGAAUCGGCCGCUUCCUACCGGAGACCGCGACUUCCACAGGCCGAGCUGGGCAGAGAUUCAAUGCUGGCGACUUCGGCGAGAGAUCCCAGGCUCCGCGAUGUUAAAGUCAGCGCCGCCCAUGGCUGGAAAGUCAGCGCAUCCAGCGGCUGGAAGCUACGCAGACCACACCUCAGCAGACCACAGUCGGUUGUCCCAGCACUCCGGAACUGCAACACGGCGAUCCCAGUAAGGCAUCACUCGCUCCGCGGUGGAAUCCAUGCUGCGCCGCCGCUGCUGAAGCUGAGGCUCUGGCCGAUCUCUGGCAGGAAAGGAUGCCCCAACCCAGAUUAAAGAUGCAGUGUGGUAUCAGGGCCUUUAGCCCACCAAGUCCAUGCAGACUAUCAACCACCCAUACGCCAGUUCUAUGUUAUCCCACUUUCUCAUCCUACACACUAGGGGCAAUUUACAGAAUCUGAUCAUCCUACAAACCUGCACGUCCUUGGAAUGUGGGAGGAAACUGGAGCACCAAAGAUAACAAAUGCGGUCACAGGGAGAAUGUACAAACUCUGAUAGCAUCCGAGGUCAGGAUCGAACCUGGGUCUCUGGCGCUGUGAGGCAGCAACUCCGCCGCUGGGCCACCAUGCUGCUCCUACAACGCUCGCUCUUCAGCACUCUUUGUGGAACCACAAUAAUAACGCCACACAACAGGAUGAAUGGGAUCCUCCUGAAGGGUUGUGUGGUGAUCACAUUUACCAGUAUGGUCAUGCAAAGAUGCAUCUCUGACAAGUGGAUUUAUAAGGCUGAGUCAAGUUGAUUUAUCUUAUGUUGAUUUACUCAUAACCUGUCAGACACCUAGUCUGGCGGUGAUAUUUUGCAGGACUUGGCCAGUGGAAGUCCUAUCAAGCUUUUCCUUGUGAUGGAAGGUGAAGAACUCCUAACAUUUCUUGUCUUCCACACUAGGGACAUUGGAGCCUGACUAUUACAUGAAAAAUAAGCUCUGCAUAACCCAUUUUCUAGGCUAUUGCCUUUGUUAAAUUGAGAAGGAAUAAAUAAAUUGUCUUUCUCU
Long non-coding RNA from Leucoraja erinaceus (little skate), 1800 nucleotides. RefSeq lists it as uncharacterized. The record is from RefSeq and is a predicted model, not a curated record. The transcript has 2 exons. NCBI's taxonomy places the organism in Eukaryota, Metazoa, Chordata, Chondrichthyes, Rajiformes, Rajidae.